UACGAAGGUGGCAAGCGUUGUUCGGAUUUACUGGGCGUACAGGGAGCGUAGGCGGUUGGAUAAGCCCUCCGUGAAAUCUCCAGGCUUAACCUGGAAAGUGCAGAGGGGACUGUUCAGCUAGAGGAUGGGAGAGGAGCGCGGAAUUCCCGGUGUAGCGGUGAAAUGCGUAGAUAUCUGGAGGAACACCGGUGGCGAAGGCGGCAUCCUGGACCAACACUGACACUGAGGAGCGAAAGCCAGGGGAGCAAACGGG
Molecule: ribosomal RNA, 253 nt
Filed under: uncultured bacterium
Lineage: Bacteria
Description: partial 16S ribosomal RNA
Rfam family: Bacterial small subunit ribosomal RNA
Source: RNAcentral